AACAACCAAUGGUUUACUGGCUGCCAGCAGCCAAAAACCUCGCUAAAGGAAAAGAAUCGUUCGGUCCAACAAGCUCAGCGCACACGGUUGCUCUGGAAUGGCGGGUAGUGUAGGCAGGUUUAUAUGUUCGAUUUCAAAUGGGUGGCAACAUACGAAUAUACGUAGAAAUAUUUUAGAGUGUAGAUUCACUCAUUUUGCUUUGUAUGUAGUCACUUGUUAAAAUGUCUAGAAAGACAAAUAUUUGAAAAUGGAGGAAGUAGUUUAUACAAGAAAAAUGUAUAUCUAGUUGGAGCACUAAAAAAAGUUGGUAUUCCGUACAUGCAUAGGUAGUCUACGGUCGUCUGAUCACUCACAAAGUUUGAUGCUUGCUUGUUGACACAUUAGCCCGUGAAAGUGUGAAAACGUUCGCGACUUUACAAGUUACAACAAACCACACGGACAACCGUUUUCUAUGCAGCUCCCCUCACCCACUCGCCCAACCCCUACCCGUCUCUUAUCCAUUCCAGUGACUGAGAGUCAGAGGAGAUGUGGCAGCGACACCGAUCUGCUCGCGGCGGCCAUGGCGGGUCUUGCGGCAUGGGACAGCUGCUUCCGGCGUCCGACGGCAGCACGCAUCCCCCAAAGCCCGACAUGCUCAAGCUACGCGCAGCUCGUCCACCUUCCACUCAAAGCGACAACGGCGGCCGCGGAGGACCAGUGGCAGCCAUGGCUGGUCUCGAUUCGACGUGCCGCGGCAGGGCUAGGCGCGUGUAGGCUGCUCGGCAUCAGCGGCCGACAGCGCGCACCUGUGCAAGGAGGUCCUCGUCGAAGAAUAUCAGAGCCGCCUUGUUCUUGAACUCACAGAGGAGCAUGUGGUCGCCCUCUGGGUCCUUGUACUGGCGAGGUGACGAAUCGGUGACCACGCUCCGGGGCGAGCGAGGCCGGGGUGUACGACGAGCCAAGUCGCUAUCCUGGGCUCUGUAAUUGGAAAUUUCGGGCCGAGCGAGCACAUCCGGUUGGUUAGCUGGCGCCUUGGCGGGAGCUGCUGUUGCUCCUCGCUGGGAACAACCACCAUAUCCUCAGGCGGCGGUAGCGACUCGUUCGUGUGCGCGCUGGGCCGGAGCGUCACGGGCGCCAUCACGGCGACCACACCAAGCGCAAGGGCCUUGGGAACAGCCAGAUGCCCCUACACUACAAGCUUUCUCAGAAGAUGGCAUUGGGUAGUGUUCUUUCACGGCACUACUAUCUAUUUCAUGAGGAACCACUUGGCAGAUCUGUAGGAUCGCAAUGUUCAGCCUGGCUUCGAUCUUUGAUCUGGAUGUAAGAUGCGGUGACCUUGGCGCCACAACCAUGGAGACAGCCAGUCUGGACAUGAUGAUGGCAGGGGUUCAGCAGCGAGAAAAGGAGGAGAGUCUGAAAAGUAAGC
Triticum dicoccoides is the source of this 1405-nucleotide long non-coding RNA. RefSeq lists it as uncharacterized. The record is from RefSeq and is a predicted model, not a curated record. The transcript is spliced from 3 exons. Lineage: Eukaryota; Viridiplantae; Streptophyta; Magnoliopsida; Poales; Poaceae.